Molecule: ribosomal RNA, 70 nt
Filed under: Inocybe angustifolia
Lineage: Eukaryota; Fungi; Basidiomycota; Agaricomycetes; Agaricales; Inocybaceae
Description: partial 5.8S ribosomal RNA
Rfam family: 5.8S ribosomal RNA
About the family: 5.8S ribosomal RNA (5.8S rRNA) is a component of the large subunit of the eukaryotic ribosome.
Source: RNAcentral
AUCAUCGAAUCUUUGAACGCAUCUUGCGCUCCUUGGUAUUCCGAGGAGCAUGCCUGUUUGAGUGUCAUUA